UACGAAGGGUGCAAGCGUUACUCGGAAUUACUGGGCGUAAAGCGUGCGUAGGUGGUUUGUUAAGUCUGAUGUGAAAGCCCUGGGCUCAACCUGGGAAUUGCAUUGGAUACUGGCAGGCUAGAGUGCGGUAGAGGAUGGCGGAAUUCCCGGGUGUAGCAGUGAAAUGCGUAGAGAUCGGGAGGAACAUCUGUGGCGAAGGCGGCCAUCUGGACCAGCACUGACACUGAGGCACGAAAGCGUGGGGAGCA
This 248-nucleotide ribosomal RNA is filed under the name uncultured bacterium. Its description in RNAcentral is "partial 16S ribosomal RNA". It matches the Rfam family "Bacterial small subunit ribosomal RNA", at positions 524 to 770 of the family's 1533-position model. The record is from RNAcentral.